Long non-coding RNA from Homo sapiens (human), 1634 nucleotides. Ensembl annotates it as DARS1 antisense RNA 1. Its record names the gene DARS1-AS1. Lineage: Eukaryota; Metazoa; Chordata; Mammalia; Primates; Hominidae. The record is from Ensembl.
ACUUCCGGGGCGGCUGGUUCUUCCCGUCCUCCCCACCCCGGGGACACGCUUCUAGUAGGCCAAACUCCCAGGUGACCCCCGCAAGAAACGCGGUCCGGAGAGGGUCUGGCCCCACUGCUGGGGCAAGGGCUCUAGGCGCCCGGACCCCACGCCCGCAGCCUGCGGAGAACGUGCCGACAAGGACCUGUAGGGCCCCACUCCCCCUCCUCCCUCCCUCGGCGCAGCCCGGCCCAGGGGUCUGUCCUCCCAGGCCCAGGAAAGGAGGAAACCCACUUCCGCCGCGUCCAUGAUCUCCCGCGGCUUCUCCUGACUCUUGCGGCUGGCGCUGGCGCUGGGCAUCGGGACACGGAACUGGGCAGUGGACACCACCCUCCCUCGCAGGCUUCCAAAGUAAUUUGAAGGCCUUCCCUGACUUAAAGUGGAUGCUGCUUUGGAAAGCACUGGAAAAAUGGAUCCUGUCUUUCUUAGCCAAGGACUGGUCUCUUUUCUCCAAUGUGUCCCUAACAGAGUGGUGAGGCUGGCUCUUCCCACCAGUACAGACAUGGAAUAAACUUGACAAGUGCUAAAGAUGCUCUUUGAUUUUUGUGUGGCAUGAGACCUCAGGCUGAAACUUCUCAUCUGAGCCAUUGAAGGGAGCCUCUCAUCUCUCCACCGAGAGGGGAGACCAGAAUGGCUCCUUCAGGCACAUUCUGUUGGGCUUCCCUCUACCUCCCCACUCUGCUGCUUCCCCGCUCUUUUUGAAUUUCUCCCUGUUGAGGAGAGGGAAGACCAGCUAGGAGCUCUGUUUCUGGCAGGAAUCUGACACCACUUACUCCUUGGGUAGAAACUCCCCCAAGUCUGAACUAUGUGAUUGCCUGAGCCCUGCUUCUUGUUCAUUAAGACUGCUCCUCUGAAACGGAAUUGAUGAAUUUUUAGUGGCUAUUAGAAGCAUUUGGGAUCCAUAGGCAUCAGGGUUUGAUGCAUGGCCCUCAUCUCUGUGGGCUCCUGUGCAAUGAUUCUCAUCUGUCUUAGUUAGAAAGUGAAUUAAUCUUGACCUUGGCCUCAGGGGUGUGGUUCUCUGCCCUCUUACACAUCUUCAAUUCGCUUCUUUAUCAGAAGCACUUGUUUUAGGCCCAGGCUCCCCCAAUUUUAAUGACAUUUAGACAUUUGUCUUUAAGUUACAUUGCUUUGAUUUUAAUCAAAAUCUAUAUUUCUAGUAUUAUAUGUUUCCAGAAAGUUCUCAUUCUGGAUUGUAAUUUAAUUACAUGGAUCAUUAAAGCUUUGAAGGAUGCUAAUGGGCAGAAAAAAGAGACUUAACAAAACGAAAGUUAUUAUUAGGAAUUACAAAUCACUUAACAUUUCAACAUCACUCGUCGGAUGUGGGCAUUUUGUUGAAAGAGACCUUGUUUUGAACAGUGACAGUGCAGAAGACCUAUGGAAGAAACAAGCUUCCAACUUGAUUUCUAUUGUUAUGCAUGCAUAGCAAAUUAUUAAUUCUAUUCUAAUAGGGUAAUAGAUUUAGAAAUACUAUUAGCAGAAAACUUGAUGUAUUAGGCAAUACUACAUACCACAUUAGUCUAACCGCUCAACUGUAAUUUUUCAUCCAUACUUUCUUGGGAUGUAAAUAAAAUUGAUAUUAUACAAUGAAAAUAAAA